GGACGAACGCUGGCGGCGUGCUUAACACAUGCAAGUCGAACGGAAAGGCCCUGCUUUUGUGGGGUGCUCGAGUGGCGAACGGGUGAGUAACACGUGAGUAACCUGCCCUUGACUUUGGGAUAACUUCAGGAAACUGGGGCUAAUACCGGAUAGGAGCUCCUGCUGCAUGGUGGGGGUUGGAAAGUUUCGGCGGUUGGGGAUGGACUCGCGGCUUAUCAGCUUGUUGGUGGGGUAGUGGCUUACCAAGGCUUUGACGGGUAGCCGGCCUGAGAGGGUGACCGGCCACUGGGGGACUGAGAUAGGGCCCAGACCCCGACGGGGGACAGAGGGGGGGAAUAUGCAAGAAGGGGGGGAGGCCGGAUGCAGCAGCGCCGGGUGGGGGAGGGCGGCCUUCGGGUUGAACCCCGCUUUCGCCGGGGACGAAGGGGGGGUGAGGGUAGGGGGUAAAGAGGCCCCGGCAAACUAGGUC
This 469-nucleotide ribosomal RNA is filed under the name uncultured bacterium. RNAcentral's name for it is "partial 16S ribosomal RNA". It matches the Rfam family "Bacterial small subunit ribosomal RNA", at positions 27 to 507 of the family's 1533-position model. The record is from RNAcentral.